UACGAGCAAAGAACUUGGUGGA
This 22-nucleotide non-coding RNA is filed under the name Arabidopsis thaliana (thale cress). Lineage: Eukaryota; Viridiplantae; Streptophyta; Magnoliopsida; Brassicales; Brassicaceae. The record is from RNAcentral.